This 253-nucleotide ribosomal RNA is filed under the name uncultured bacterium. RNAcentral's name for it is "partial 16S ribosomal RNA". It matches the Rfam family "Bacterial small subunit ribosomal RNA", at positions 524 to 776 of the family's 1533-position model. The record is from RNAcentral.
UACGAAGGGGGCUAGCGUUGCUCGGAAUCACUGGGCGUAAAGGGUGCGUAGGCGGGUCUUUAAGUCAGGGGUUAAAUCCUGGAGCUCAACUCCAGAACUGCCUUUGAUACUGAGGAUCUUGAGUUCGGGAGAGGUGAGUGGAACUGCGAGUGUAGAGGUGAAAUUCGUAGAUAUUCGCAAGAACACCAGUGGCGAAGGCGGCUCACUGGCCCGAUACUGACGCUGAGGCACGAAAGCGUGGGGAGCAAACAGG